GCGCUCAGCCCUGCGGCCCAGCUGGCGGAAGCGGAAGCGCCCGGCGGGGCGUUUGGGCAGCAUCGCCGCCGCGGAGCGACAAACAUGCAACAUGGCAGCAGCCAUGGAAACUGAACAGCCAGGCCUUGAAGUCUUUGAAACUGCGGGCUGUGAGGAGCAGCUGCAGAGAGAGGAGCAGCCAAAACCUGAACCUUUCUAUGUAGAGAGACAUUCCUGGAGCCAGCUUCGGAAACUGCUCACGGAUACACGGAAAUAUCAUGGGUAUAUGAUGGCAAAAGCCCCACAUGACUUCACGUUUGUUAAGAAAAAUGAUCCUGAAGGACCUCAUUCUGAUAGGAUUUACUAUUUGGCAAUGUCUGGGGAGAAUAGGGAGAACACGCUCUUCUACUCUGAAAUUCCAAAAACCGUGAACAAAGCUGCUGUCCUGUUGCUUUCCUGGAAGCCUCUCUUGGAUCUUUUUCCGGCCGUCCUGGACUAUGGUAUGUACUCUCGGGAAGAGGAGUUGCUACGGGAGAGGAAGCGAAUUGGCACUGUUGGGAUUGCCUCCUAUGACUACCAUCGAGAAAGUGGCACCUUUCUGUUUCAGGCUGGGAGUGGAAUUUAUCAUGUAAAAGAUGGAGGCCCUCAUGGAUUCACUCAACAGCCUUUGAGACCCAUUCUGGUGGAGACCAGUUGUCCAAAUAUCCGGAUGGAUCCUAAGCUUUGUCCAGCUGAUCCAAAUUGGAUUGCCUUUAUCCAUAGCAAUGACAUCUGGAUAUCUAAUAUAGAAACCAGAGAAGAAAGGAGGCUAACAUUUGUGCACAAUGAACUUGCCAAUGUUGAGGAAGAUCCAAAAUCUGCUGGCGUGGCUACUUUUGUGCUGCAGGAAGAGUUUGACAGAUACACUGGCUAUUGGUGGAGUCCAAAGGCAGAGCCAACACUGAAUGGGGGGAAAGUUCUUCGAAUUCUUUAUGAAGAAAACGAUGAGUCAGAGGUGGAAAUCAUCCAUGUCACGUCGCCCAUGUUGGAGACAAGAAGAACAGAUUCCUUCCGGUACCCCAAAACUGGUACAGCAAAUCCAAAGGUCACUUUCAAGAUUUCUGAAGUGGUGAUCAAUGAAGAAGGAAGAAUUGCAGAUGUUGUGGAUAAAGAGCUAGUUCAGCCGUUCGAGAUCCUCUUUGAAGGAGUAGAGUACAUUGCUAGAGCUGGGUGGACGCCAGAAGGAAAAUACGUCUGGUCCAUCUUACUGGAUCGUUCCCAGACUCGACUGCAGAUAGUCUUGAUUCCCCCUGCAUUAUUCAUCCCAGUAGAAGAUGAUGCAAUGGAAAGACAGAAACUUAUCGACGCUGUGCCAGAUUCUGUUACACCUUUAAUUAUUUAUGAGGAAACAACAGACAUAUGGAUAAAUAUCCAUGAUAUCUUCUACGUUUUCCCUCAAACCCAUGAAGAUGAGAUAGAGUUCAUUUUUGCCUCUGAGUGUAAAACAGGAUUCAGACACCUAUACAAAAUUGUCUCCAUUUUGAAGGAGAGCAAAUAUAAACGAUCAUCCGGAGGACUCCCUGCUCCAAGUGACUUCAAGUGCCCCAUCAAAGAGGAGAUUGCCAUUACCAGUGGGGAAUGGGAAGUGCUUGGCAGACAUGGGUCCAAUAUCUAUGUAGAUGAAGCCAAAAAACUGGUGUAUUUUCAAGGCACGAAAGACUCUCCUUUAGAGCAUCACUUGUAUGUUGUUAACUACAAGAAUCCUGGAGAAGUGAAGCGACUGACGGAACGUGGUUACUCCCAUGCCUGCUGUGUCAGCCAGGAUUGUGACAUGUUCAUCAGCAAGUACAGCAAUCAGAAGAACCCACACUGUGUGUCCCUUUACCGGCUGACAGGACAUGAAGGUGACGCAGCUCAAAGGACAAAGGAAUUUUGGGCUACAAUUUUAGAUUCAGCAGGUCCUCUUCCUGAUUACAUUCCCCCAGAAGUGUUCUCCUUUGAGAGCUCCACAGGGUUUACACUCUAUGGGAUGAUGUACAAACCUCACAAUCUGCAACCUGGAAAGAAGUACCCUACUGUGAUCUUCAUCUAUGGAGGCCCUCAGGUGCAGCUGGUGAACAAUCGAUUUAAAGGACUCAAAUACUUCCGAUUGAACACCUUGGCCUCUUUAGGCUACGUUGUUGUUGUUAUUGACAACCGAGGGUCCUGCCACCGAGGGCUGAAGUUUGAAGGAGCCUUUAAAUACAAAAUGGGACAAAUAGAAAUUGAUGACCAAGUGGAAGGGCUGCACUACUUAGCGUCCCAGUAUGACUUCAUUGAUUUGGAUCGUGUUGGCAUUCACGGCUGGUCCUAUGGAGGCUACCUCUCUCUUAUGGCUUUAAUGCAGAGGUAGCCAUCGCUGGAGCACCCGUCACGCUGUGGAUCUUUUAUGACACGGGUUACACAGAGCGCUACAUGGGCCACCCGGAGCACAACGAGCAGGGCUACUACCUGGGAUCAGUGGCCAUGCAAGCUGAGAAGUUUCCUUCUGAACCGAACCGUUUGCUGCUGCUACAUGGGUUCUUGGAUGAGAACGUUCACUUUGCACACACUAGUAUUUUGCUCAGCUUUUUAGUGAGAGCUGGGAAGCCAUACGACCUGCAGAUCUACCCUCAGGAGAGACACAGUAUAAGGGGCCCUGAGUCAGGAGAGCACUAUGAACUCCAUCUACUGUAUUACCUGCAAGAGAAUCUGGGCUCUCGCAUUGCUGCCCUGAAGGCAAUGUAGGUGACCUCUGCAGAACUCUGCUCAGCUGGCUGCUGUACCACGAGGAGAUAAGAAACUAGAGAAAAGAGAAUGGAACUUUGCAUUUUGGUGCCUGCCUCAUGUACACACACGCAUCCACACAGAGACACUUUUUUAAAGUAAAUUUGGUGCCAUGUAGGGAACUAAAGGAUGGUGACCUAAUGACUUUAAAGCUUAAGGUGUAAAUAAAAUCCGGUGUCUGUGGUGUGAUGCAGUACCACGGGUGUUCUCUUGGGGGAGGAGCUGCAACUGAAAAUAACAUACUUCCACAGCACCAGAUCCUGUUGUUUUAAAAAGACUCUGAUCUAAUCAGUGUGUUUUUACAGUGUGUUCCUUGGUACCAUAACACUAGAAAAUCUACUCCCUACACUGCAGGAAUUUAACUGGAUGGUCACAAUGUGUACAUUACGUUUUGAAUGUCAUUGUAUAGCUGUUACGCUUUAUAAAUGGGACGUGUCUCACUCCAGAAAAGCUGGUACCAUGUUAGACUCAUCCCUGUCGAGCUACUGAUUGUUUUUUACGGAGAAACACUUUUAAGCUGCCCUGAGAAGGUUUUCAGUUCUGGGUUCGGUUCAGCUGAUGCCGGGUUCUUUUCAGUAAUUACUUCCCUUCCCAGGAUAAGUCACACUGUUUUUCCUUCCAGCAGACUGAUAACCUGUCCUGCCUGUACUUGAUUUCACCUGGGGAACUGAGGUGAUGUUUUACUGUGAUGUGAGCAUAACAAUCUUUUAUUCUGGGAUGCAAACUAAUUUAAGGCAAAUUGCAGAAACUUUGUACAUUUUAAAAGAAGCUUAAAAGUGCAGCCCGUUCCUCGCUAACAUUUUUCCCUGAUGUUCAUUCUGGAGCUGUUUUUGCAGUACUGUUUUCUUACUGUCACAUUAGCAUGAUGUAGAUAUAAUGCAUCCUGUUACAGUUUUAAGAUUCAACGCUCUGAUUCAAAGGUCUGCAGAGGAUUUGGUGAGGAGAGACCCUACAAACACUACACGUCGGGCAAUGUGAGCUGCUUCAUUUGAUUUCCUGCUUUAUUCAAGGCACUGUUUCCAGGCUCUGCUCAGUCCUCUGUUCCUGGGUCAUUUCCAGCACUGCUGCAUAGCAUGACUGUGAUGCUGUGUUUGAGAACCCCUUCCAGCAUAGCUUAAGGUAACCCCCCUAAGCCUAAAGGAUAUGAAAGCCCCAUUUUAGUUAGUGAGGUUUUAACUAAGCAGCAGGUUUGGCUAAAAAGUGUCUUAUGUGAAGUCACUUUGAACUUGCAACAAGUUGUUCAAGAUAGAAAUCCAUGGCAAAAUGAUUCUUUUUAAUCCAGGGAAUUCUCCCCUUGGGAACCUGCCUCUGAGACUCUCGUAAGUUUUAAUGGUUUUCUUAGAAACCUAAGAACUUCCUUUCCUUCCCUUUUUGGUGCUAGAGAGAAGCUGAGCGUGGUUUUUCUUUUCAUCUUUUGAAAACGUGGAAUCACUCUCAGUAUUCACACUCUUAGUUCUCCACAUGUGCCCUUGUUAUUUCCUCGCUGUGGAACUGUUCAGCUUGGCCAUGAGACUCUGGGAUUUAACACGAUCUGAUUGUAUUGUAUCACACCGCAUCGUUUUACAGUCAGGCUGCUGAGCAGAUGCAUUGACGCUGUCAGAGCCACUGCAGUUACAUGGGUGCUGAGUCUGUAUGUGAGGGCAGGAUCUGGUUUGGGGAUUAUGCAAACGAUAGCCAAAGCAAAUGGGUCUGCAGUAGGUGUGUGUUUCCUUGACACAGGAGUGUUUGGUUGGGGGGAAGGGGGGGCUGUUUUUCAGAUCUCAGUGUUUUUUAGUGGAUGAGCUGGAAUCCCCUUAGUGGGUCAGUAAGAGCCUUACUGCUGGGACGGGGGAAAGGGCACGGCAUGCAAAGGGCUCCUUCUAACAUCUCCUCCUUGAGUAAUGAACUGUGGCUGAACCUGAGCUGUCUGCUGUGGUCAGUGCUGAGAGAUGAGUAAUUGUGCUGAAGCUUUUGGUCUAGAGCAGCGUGGCAGGGAGUAUAGAAAGGUAAAAGCCGUCACGAUGGAGUUCUUUUCUGUUCCUGAUGUGUUUAUGCUGUAUGAUAUAUACAUAUAUCUAUAUCUGUUCAUAUAUACAUAUAUGUAUAAAAUUACACGUGGAUAGCAUCACCUUUUCCAAGGUUGUUUAUAUUUUGUUCAAUAUUUAACUUGCUUUUGGGGGCGUUUCUGCUCUUUUUGUAGAGGUGAGUACCCUUGAAUGUAAAUGUUUACGAUUUUUAAGACAAAAUGGAUCCUUUUGUGUAAAAAAGAAAAAAAGAAAAAGAAAAAAAGGCUUCAUGAAGCAGUGCUUCUUUGGCAACUGAAGAACUAAAUGUUAUACAAGUAAACCAGGCUGGAUUUUGAUUUAGCACGGGAUUGUAAGUGCUGACAUAAACUUUAAAAUAAUGCAUCUUUACUUUGUUUUAAAUAUAUCUAUUGGAGAGCAAUUAAAGUGCAAAGCACUGUAAGGACUCUAUUUUGCAACAUAAAUUACAUAUUCUUUCUUUCCUACAGGAGUUUUUCCUUUUUACAGCAGUCAAGCACUUUCCAACCCCGUGCUCUCUCAUCCUGCUGAAGUGCUGGGAGGAUUUAUCAGCACAGCUUUGCAGUUCUGGUCAGAGAUGCCUCGUGUGAGCUUUGAGAUUGAGGUAGGGAGGUGCCGAGGGCUCCCAGGGCACAGAUGGGUGCCUGGGGGUUGGAUACAGCAGUGUGCUCUGUGCCCAGCAGGCACCUGCUCUGAGCAGGAUGCAGCCUUCACUGCCCAGUGGAUGGUGGUUUCUUCCCAGCAGUUGCACUGACAUCUUUUGAGAUAAAUGUUUAAAUUUCUUAUACUUAGAAGAAUACAUGAAACGUGGGGAUGUGAGCAGUGACGCUGAAGUUGGAUGGUGAUGCCAGCAGUGGUGGUGGCUGGGAUUUGUUGGUGUCGUUUCUGUGUUAGCACGUUCUUUGUCCCUUCAUACAGCAGCUUUCAGGAUCUUUUUCCAAAUGGGGUUUCACCCUUCACACAGGAAUUGCACUCCCUACCCCGUCCCUUUGUUUCCAAUGGUCUUUUAUUCAGAACAAAAUAUAAUUGGUAAUUAACCAGAGCUGCUUAGUUUUUAUAAGCUCUCUUAACUUCAAAAUAUUCGUUAAUGAAAUAAUGAUUUCAAACCUCGUGUAAAGCUUUGAAAAUCAAUUUGCUUCAUUGUAUCACAAUGGAAAAUGUAUUCUCUGGUUAUUAGUGCUGUUAGGGGGAAAGAGAGGGAAAUACUUUGAGCAGAGAUGGGUUCUGCUUCCUCCUGAGCACAGCAUGUGUCUCACACUGCAGAGCUUGCCCAGCUCUGACCGUGGGGUCCCAACACCUUCCAUGGGAGAAGCACCAGGUUGUGCUUCUGUGUCCAUACACAAGGCUGUUUUGCUGCUGGCAUGACAUUUGGCUUCUGGUGUGGCAAUAAUAGAGUACAAGUGAAUGAAAUAAUGGCCCAGAUUAGGAUACUGCCUUGAAUUGCCUGUUUAUUUGAGUAGCAGAACCUUGCAAAGACUUCUGUGCCCCCCUCGCGGGUCUUUGGGACAGUCCUUUUGCAGAGAGCCCUGGUGUGGUUUGUACGUAGAUGUUCUGCACAGACAAAGUUCAGGUUUUUAAUUCUAGAAGAAGUGCCUGCUGUUUGCAUUAACAGAACUGCAUGUCUCACCCCAGUGGGUUUAUGGUCUCCCUCCCCCACCUUUCUAGCGACUUAGCUUUUAAUCGUGUAAAGUGGAGACAUUUGUUUUGCUGCUUUUUAUUACAAAACCUUUGUGGCAAUAAAGAUGCUGCUAAAUAAA
Molecule: RNA transcript, 6541 nt
Organism: Coturnix japonica (Japanese quail)
Lineage: Eukaryota; Metazoa; Chordata; Aves; Galliformes; Phasianidae
Gene: DPP8
Gene name: dipeptidyl peptidase 8
Source: RefSeq, a predicted model, not a curated record